AUCCCUCCGGGGACAUUUGAUAAAAUUAGAAAGAUACAGAGAAGAUUAGUAGGAGUCCAGCACAAAUAUAACUCACAUUGAUCGAGAAAAGAUCUUAAAAGGCACACACUUCUUUU
This 116-nucleotide small nuclear RNA is filed under the name Rosa chinensis. The record is from RNAcentral. Lineage: Eukaryota; Viridiplantae; Streptophyta; Magnoliopsida; Rosales; Rosaceae.